AGUCUUUUGGCAGCAUUAUCUUCCUCUCCUGUUUAGAUUUAGGGUUCCUCCAUCAAAGCACUACAGACGUUAUACUCUUUCUACUUCUCAAAUUAGAUCCAUAAACUGUUUAUCUUCUUCUAUUUAUAUAUCUAUGACGCCCUCCCACUUGGUUGGAUUUCUCAGUUCAUCGUAUCUCACGUCCUCAGCUUCUGGGAUUCGCUUAACAUGAAGAAAAACGGUUAAUUUAUGAGAAUCACCUUCUUCUUCCUUGAUGAAAAGGUAUCGUACUCUUUAAUCUCUCACGAAUCACAUAGUCCAAACCUGUGUCAUGAAGCCUCAAAAUCAUGUCUGGUUUUACUGUUCUGUCUUCAUACCAAUUAGACUAGGAAACACUCUUGCUUCGGCCACUAUUCGGCCACUAUUUCUGCCAUCAAAGAGUUCAUAAGCAGGUGGCAAUACAUACUGUCUUGGCUUAAACUCAUCUCCAAAGAUACCAUAGAAGGGAUCAAAAAGAAAUAGCUUGUGUCAAUUGGAGAACUAAAUAUGUACAUAAACUCUAACGACCAGACACAUGUAGCUGGUUUUAUUUGGGUCCUCCAAGAUAAUGGAUGGUCAUCUGUCGCUUGCACCGGAUGCAGCAGGAAGUUGGACAGAUCCGGCACUUUCCUUUGGUGCAACAGAUGUUCUUCUCCCAACGUUACGGGGUUAUCAGGUUAUGUGUUGAACUAGAGGUUGCUGACGUCAACGACAGUGCCACGUUUAUGGUCUUCGACAAGGAUAUGACUAAGAUAACCAAGAAAGAUAGCUACUCUGGCUCUUGAGCAGGCCUCAAACGUACUACAUAUGAAUGGCGGUGGAGGGCAUGAGCUACCCAUCUGCUUUGAAAGAGCUAGCUGGAAAGGACUACGUUUUCCAGAUUCGUUUCACUCCAUACAUCACCCUCAACCACAGUACAUUCACCGUUCUGCAGUUAGUGAUGAUAGCUUCUUUCUCACUUAGGCAGAAGUGGAGCUAUAUAAGUAUUCCAACACUAACUUUUUUCGUAAUUUAAAAUAACACAUGCAACUAUGCUUCAGAUUAGCAGCAACAAUCAAUCUCCAGUCAUUUACGUGGAAUGUGGGCAAGCGCCAGAUGCGGUUGAAGCGGCUAAGAUUGCAAAUGAAGCUGAUUAAGCAAAACUUCUCGGCUCUGAAGGCAAAGAAAAAAAAGGCAAACUCCCCCGUUAGUGAUAGUUUCAAGACCAUCAAACCGUCAACCUUCAUUUCUUGUCUUUUUAUAGAUGUUAAAUUCCUAUUUUUUUCCUAUUUGAAUUUGGGUUGUUUUUCUAUUGUCUACAAACUCCCUCUCCUAAGGAGAAGAAUAACCUUGGUUUAAACUAAAUGCAUCAGUACA
Molecule: long non-coding RNA, 1374 nt
Organism: Brassica oleracea var. oleracea
Lineage: Eukaryota; Viridiplantae; Streptophyta; Magnoliopsida; Brassicales; Brassicaceae
Exons: 5
Source: RefSeq, a predicted model, not a curated record